UACGGGGGGGGCAAGCGUUGUUCGGAAUUACUGGGCGUAAAGGGCUCGUAGGCGGCCAACUAAGUCAGACGUGAAAUCCCUCGGCUUAACCGGGGAACUGCGUCUGAUACUGGAUGGCUGGAGUUUGGGAGAGGGAUGCGGAAUUCCAGGUGUAGCGGUGAAAUGCGCAGAUAUCAGGAGGAACACCGGUGGCGAAGGCGGAUCUCUGGGCCAUUACUGACGCUGAGGAGCGAAAGCGUGGGGAGCGAACAGG
Molecule: ribosomal RNA, 253 nt
Filed under: uncultured bacterium
Lineage: Bacteria
Description: partial 16S ribosomal RNA
Rfam family: Bacterial small subunit ribosomal RNA
Source: RNAcentral